UACAGAGGUCCCCAAGCGUUUGUUCGGAUUCACUGGGCGUAAAGGGUGCGUAGGCGGUUGGGUAAGUCUGAUGUGAAAUCUCACAGCUUAACUGUGAAACUGCAUUGGAUACUAUCCGGCUAGAGGAAUGGAGGGGAGACUGGAAUACUUGGUGUAGCAGUGAAAUGCGUAGAUAUCAAGUGGAACACCAGUGGCGAAGGCGAGUCUCUGGACAUUUCCUGACGCUGAGGCACGAAAGCCAGGGGAGCAAACGGG
RNAcentral lists this ribosomal RNA (255 nucleotides) under uncultured bacterium. Its description in RNAcentral is "partial 16S ribosomal RNA". It matches the Rfam family "Bacterial small subunit ribosomal RNA", at positions 524 to 776 of the family's 1533-position model. The record is from RNAcentral.